RNAcentral lists this ribosomal RNA (427 nucleotides) under uncultured bacterium. RNAcentral's name for it is "bacterial SSU rRNA". It matches the Rfam family "Bacterial small subunit ribosomal RNA", at positions 355 to 774 of the family's 1533-position model. The record is from RNAcentral.
UGGGGAAUUUUGGACAAUGGACGCAAGUCUGAUCCAGCCAUGCCGCGUUCGGGAAGAAGGCCUUCGGGUUGUAAACCGCUUUUGUCAGGGAAGAAACGGGUUUCUCUAAUACAGAGACUUAAUGACGGUACCUGAAGAAUAAGCACCGGCUAACUACGUGCCAGCAGCCGCGGUAAUACGUCGGGUGCAAGCGUUAAUCGGAAUUACUGGGCGUAAAGCGUGCGCAGGCGGUUAUGCAAGACAGAUGUGAAAUCCCCGGGCUCAACCUGGGAACUGCCUUUGUGACUGCAUAGCUAGAGUACGGUAAAGGGGGAUGGAAUUCCGCGUGUAGCAGUGAAAUGCGUAGAUAUGCGGAGGAACACCGAUGGCGAAGGCAAUCCCCUGGACCUGUACUGACGCUCAUGCACGAAAGCGUGGGGAGCAAACA